RNAcentral lists this ribosomal RNA (1258 nucleotides) under Glomus sp. MUCL 43205. Its description in RNAcentral is "eukaryotic LSU rRNA". It matches the Rfam family "Eukaryotic large subunit ribosomal RNA", at positions 28 to 1138 of the family's 3401-position model. The record is from RNAcentral. Lineage: Eukaryota; Fungi; Glomeromycota; Glomeromycetes; Glomerales; Glomeraceae.
CUGAACUUAAGCAUAUCAAUAAGCGGAGGAAAAGAAAAUAACAAUGAUUCCCCUAGUAACUGCGAGUGAAGAGGGACAAGCUCAAAUUUUAAAUCUAUCGGGUUUUACCUGAUCGAGUUGUAAUUUGAAGAUGGCGUUUUCUGUGUUUCUGAUCAGUCCAAGUCCUUUGGGAUAAGGCAUCAUGGAGGGUGAGAAUCCCGUUCGGUUGAUCAGAUUCGCUUUACGAUACGUUAUCAAAGAGUCAAGUUGUUUGGGAUUGCAGCUUAAAAUGGGAGGUAAAUUUCUCCUAAGGCUAAAUAACGGCGAGAGACCGAUAGCGAACAAGUACCGUGAGGGAAAGAUGAAAAGAACUUUGAAAAGAGAGUUAAACAGUACGUGAAAUUGUUGAAAGGGAAACGAUUGAAGCCAGUCGUACCUUCGGGUAAUCAGCCUUUUGGGUGUGAUUUUGUGGAGCGUGAAGAGUUAAACGCCUUCAUGCCUGCAUAUUCGUGCACUUUGGGUGUACUUGCCCGUAUGGUUGGUUAACAUCAAUUUUGGUGGUCAUAAAAUGACUGGAGGAAUGUAGCUUCGAUCUUGUAUUGAAGUGUUAUAGCCUUCGGUAGAUGUGAUGAUCGAGAUUGAGGAUUGCAACGGAUACCCUUCGGGGCUACCUGUCUGGUCUCUGAUCGUUGCUCUGGUGCCGAAAGCUUGCUUACGGUUAUCAAAGUCGAUGGUCAAUAGGUUAGAACGGGUUAAAUUCGUUAAGGAUGUUGACGUAAUGGCUUUAAACGACCCGUCUUGAAACACGGACCAAGGAGUCUAACAUAUAUGCGAGUGUUAGGGUGAUUAAACCCUUACGCGUAAUGAAAGUAAUUUUGGUGGGAACACUUUUGUGCACCAUCGACCGAUCAGGAUAUUUUUUGAUAGAUUUGAGUAAGAGCAUAUCUGCUAGGACCCGGAAGAUGGUGAACUAUGCCUGAAUAGGGUGAAGUCAGAGGAAACUCUGAUGGAGGCUCGUAGCGGUUCUGACGUGCAAAUCGAUCGUCAAAUUUGGGUAUAGGGGCGAAAGACUAAUCGAACCAUCUAGUAGCUGGUUCCUGCCGAAGUUUCCCUCAGGAUAGCAGAAACUCGUUAACAGUUUUAUGAGGUAAAGCGAAUGAUUAGAGGCCUUAGGGUUGAAACAGCCUUAACCUAUUCUCAAACUUUAAAUAUGUAAGAAGUUUAUCGUUACUUAAUUGAACGUGAACAUUCGAAUGAGAGUUUCUAGUGGGCCAUUUUU